Molecule: long non-coding RNA, 500 nt
Organism: Anolis sagrei ordinatus
Lineage: Eukaryota; Metazoa; Chordata; Lepidosauria; Squamata; Anolidae
Source: RefSeq, a predicted model, not a curated record
GGAGUGCUUGAUGGCUGCUGACCUUGAACAGGGAUGUGAAAUGGCAAAUAUUUAUUCACAUAGCAGCCGCUCUGCCUCUCUCCAGCUCGGCGCAGAGCAUUCCAUUGCUACACACCCAAGGGUUGGUACAGCCCUGGAGACCUCUCCACCCCCAGAACCACCUCUGCUGGCUCAUUGGAAGUCCCAGGGCCUCUUGGACCAGCUGGGAGGAGAUCCCCAGCUGUGUCAUUGCUACCUCCACCAAUCAGGGUGCACACUGGCUAAGGCCUGUCUCCCCAACCAGUCAGAGACCUGGAAAAUGCUGAUUGACUUCUGAGCACUGAUUAAUCAGGGGAAAGGGAGGGAGGUUCAAAACAGAGCAAUGUUAAUGCAUGAAAACUCUUGUGUAUAAAAAUGUCUGCUUUAUGAUUACGCUUUGCACUUGUACCCUUCAAGCACCUGUUGCUGUACAAGUGUCUCUUCUGCGCAGAUUGAAUAAAUGCCUCCAUUUUUUCCUUCAA